Molecule: ribosomal RNA, 223 nt
Filed under: uncultured bacterium
Lineage: Bacteria
Description: partial 16S ribosomal RNA
Rfam family: Bacterial small subunit ribosomal RNA
Source: RNAcentral
ACGCUCGACACCUACGGGUGGCAGCAGUAGGGAAUCUUCCACAAUGGACGCAAGUCUGAUGGAGCAACGCCGCGUGAGUGAAGAAGGUUUUCGGAUCGUAAAGCUCUGUUGUUGGUGAAGAAGGAUAGAGGUAGUAACUGGCCUUUAUUUGACGGUAAUCAACCAGAAAGUCACGGCUAACUACGUGCCAGUAGCCGCGGUAAUCUGAGCGGGCUGGCAAGGC